UACGUAGGGCGCGAGCGUUGUCCGGAAUCAUUGGGCGUAAAGAGCUCGUAGGCGGCCUGUCGCGUCUGCUGUGAAAUCCCGGGGCUCAACCCCGGGCGUGCAGUGGAUACGGGCUGGCUGGAGGCAGGCAGGGGAGAACGGAAUUCCCGGUGUAGCGGUGAAAUGCGCAGAUACCGGGAGGAACACCGGUGGCGAAGGCGGUUCUCUGGGCCUGUACUGACGCUGAGGAGCGAAAGCGUGGGGAGCGAACAGG
This 253-nucleotide ribosomal RNA is filed under the name uncultured bacterium. RNAcentral describes it as "partial 16S ribosomal RNA". It matches the Rfam family "Bacterial small subunit ribosomal RNA", at positions 524 to 776 of the family's 1533-position model. The record is from RNAcentral.